RNAcentral lists this ribosomal RNA (424 nucleotides) under uncultured soil bacterium. Its description in RNAcentral is "bacterial SSU rRNA". It matches the Rfam family "Bacterial small subunit ribosomal RNA", at positions 26 to 490 of the family's 1533-position model. The record is from RNAcentral.
AGAACGAACGCUGGCGGCAUGCCUAAUACAUGCAAGUCGAACGAAGGCUUCGGCCUUAGUGGCGCACGGGUGCGUAACGCGUGGGAAUCUGCCCCUUGGUUCGGAAUAACAGUUGGAAACGACUGCUAAUACCGGAUGAUGACGAAAGUCCAAAGAUUUAUCGCCAAGGGAUGAGCCCGCGUAGGAUUAGCUAGUUGGUGAGGUAAAGGCUCACCAAGGCGACGAUCCUUAGCUGGUCUGAGAGGAUGGAUCGAGCCAACACUGGGACUGAGGACACGGCCCAGACUCCUACGGGAGGCAGCAGUAGGGAAUAUUGGACAAUGGGCAAAGCCUGAUCCAGCAAUGCCGCGUGAGUGAGUGAAGCCGUUAGGUUGUAAAGCUACGUUUUACCCGAGACUAGAUAAUGACAGUAUCGGAGAAUAAG